This 1242-nucleotide long non-coding RNA is filed under the name Mus musculus (house mouse). Its description in RNAcentral is "RIKEN cDNA 1700030N03 gene". Lineage: Eukaryota; Metazoa; Chordata; Mammalia; Rodentia; Muridae. The record is from RNAcentral.
UUAGCCUGAGGAUAGCUCAGAGCCCAGCAAGGAGGGCUGGGAUUCACACUGAGCACGUGUGUCUCCCUCGGCUUGGGCUAUUUUCUAGGAUGGACUACCUGAAAUUCAUCACGUCCACAUCCAUAUGUGUGAAACUGCAUGAGGAGGACAUGGAAUGAUGCCACAUAUCUUGCUACAAAUAUGUAUAAACAGUUGCUAACCCACAGACUCCAAAAGCAAUAUCACCUGCGGAAGAGGAUUUCAUCCACAAGCCUGGGACACACAUCAACCUGAAUGGGCAGUCCAGCCCUAAGCUGCUAACCAGUGAGGGAGACAUCUGCCCACUUAAAAACUUCUGUCGCAGUGGUAGGAGAGAAACAAAAGACAAGAUCUAGACAGGAAAUCUGGGCAACAGAAGACAGAGCCUCAGCUAAAAAGGCUCAGCUGUGUCAGAUUGAAGUUACUUAUUUGGGAUACACCCUUCGAGAUGGGAAGCAGUGGCUAAAGAAAGCCAGAAAAAAGACUGUAACUCAGAUCCCCACCCCAACUACACCAAGAGCUUUUUCUUGACUGAACGAGUGACCUUCGCUCCACCUGCUGUCCUCAAUCUCGCUACCCUACUGCCCAAGACUUCACCUACUCAUCACUGCGCUGACAUUCUGGCAGAAGAAACUGGUACUUGAAAUGAUCUAAAGGAGCAGAUCAGCCUUGGCCUGAGAGUUCGAGCUGGUACACGGAUGGCAGUAGCCUUGCAGUUGAAGGACUGAGAUGGCAAAUGUGAUAGCCAAGAAGAUCCUAAAAGAAAUCUUCCUAAGGUCAGUCAUACUUGGAUACAGGGUGAACUAUCUCUUAACUUCAUGGAAAUGUCUGUGAGGUCUGCAAGGACUGUGGGUCUUCUCUAAAAAUGUUCUGCAACUUUGGGAAGUCACCUGCUCUCUUGUCUUGGAGGCUACCAAGAGUCCACUCUACAAAGAGGAGGGCAACAUAGAGGAAAAUAUUCUUCAGUGCUUCAAGGGGAAGCCCCAUCCAGCCCCAGCAAGGCCUUUGACUUAUCUCACAGAGACAGGCAAUGAAUAAAGGCAGGCUCCAAGAGUAAGAGAUUCCUCCCAAGCCCAAGUGACUCCUGUAAAUGUAACUGAUUUUAGCAGGACAAAAACAAGCAAUAAUUUUGGCUACCUGCUUGAUCUUAAACACCCAACAGUAAACAUAAAAUUAAAUAAAAUUAAAAUAAAAACAGUAAACAUUAAAAUGUAAACAUUAAAA